CCUACGGGUGGCUGCAGUCGAGAAUCUUUCACAAUGGGGGAAACCCUGAUGGAGCGACGCCGCGUGGGGGAAUGAAGGUCUUCGGAUUUUAAACCCCUGUCAUGUUGGAGCAAAUUAAAAAGAUAGUCCCACAAGAGGAAGAGACGGCUAACUCCGUGCCAGCAGCCGAGGUAAUACAGAGGUCUCCAGCGUUGUUCGGAAUCACUGGGCGUAAAGCGUGCGUAGGCUGUUUAGUCAGUCGUGUGUGAAAGGCGCGGGCUCAACCCGCGGACGGCAUAUGAUACUGGGAGACUAGAGUAAUGGAGAGGGAAUCGGAAUUCUCGGUGUAGCAGUGAAAUGCGUAGAUAUCGGGAGGAACACUCGUGGCGAAGGCGGGUGCCUGGACAUGAACUGACGCUGAGGCACGAAGGCCAGGGGAGCGAAAGGGAUUAGAUACCCGUGUAGUC
This 446-nucleotide ribosomal RNA is filed under the name uncultured bacterium. Its description in RNAcentral is "partial 16S ribosomal RNA". It matches the Rfam family "Bacterial small subunit ribosomal RNA", at positions 338 to 795 of the family's 1533-position model. The record is from RNAcentral.